Molecule: long non-coding RNA, 487 nt
Organism: Lactuca sativa (garden lettuce)
Lineage: Eukaryota; Viridiplantae; Streptophyta; Magnoliopsida; Asterales; Asteraceae
Source: RefSeq, a predicted model, not a curated record
GAAAAACGGUACUAUCCUCGUAUAAAUAGCCACAACUUUACCUUUCGAAAACAAUCAAAGAUUUCUUCCGCUUCCCGCAUUUCUACGGAUCAGAGCAAACCCUAACCCUAGAUUCGAUAAUGUCGUCCAAGCAAGGUGGAAAAGCGAAGCCAUUAAAGCAACCAAAGUCUGAAAAGAAGGAAUAUGAUGAGGUUGAUAAGGCCAACAUUCAAAAGAAGAAAGAUGAGGAAAAGGCACUUAAGGAGCUUAGAGCCAAAGCUCAAAAGGGAGCUUUGGGAGGUACUGGUCUCAAGAAGAGUGGAAAGAAAUGAUACCAAGUGAUUGUUAUGUGCACUGAUUUCUGUAUCAAGUUUUCUGUGAUUGUUCUUGUAGAAAUUUAAGAGGAACAAUAUUGGUGGUAUUCUUGUUUUCUGGUUCUACUUGUUUGUGUUCAAUAUGCAACUUUUCUUUUCUUUGUUUUCAAUUUGAAAGAUCUAGCAAGUUUAAA